This 77-nucleotide transfer RNA is filed under the name Desulfosporosinus sp. OT. Its description in RNAcentral is "tRNA-Ile". It matches the Rfam family "tRNA". From Rfam's summary of the family: Transfer RNA (tRNA) molecules are approximately 80 nucleotides in length. Lineage: Bacteria; Bacillati; Bacillota; Clostridia; Eubacteriales; Desulfitobacteriaceae. The record is from RNAcentral.
GGGCCUGUAGCUCAGCUGGUUAGAGCGCACGCCUGAUAAGCGUGAGGUCGAUGGUUCGAGUCCACCCAGGCCCACCA